Molecule: ribosomal RNA, 488 nt
Filed under: uncultured bacterium
Lineage: Bacteria
Description: bacterial SSU rRNA
Rfam family: Bacterial small subunit ribosomal RNA
Source: RNAcentral
AUUGAACGCUGGCGGCAGGCCUAACACAUGCAAGUCGAGCGGAUGAGAAGAGCUUGCUCUUCGAAUCAGCGGCGGACGGGUGAGUAAUGCCUAGGAAUCUGCCUAUUAGUGGGGGACAACGUUUCGAAAGGAACGCUAAUACCGCAUACGUCCUACGGGAGAAAGCAGGGGACCUUCGGGCCUUGCGCUAAUAGAUGAGCCUAGGUCGGAUUAGCUAGUUGGUGAGGUAAUGGCUCACCAAGGCUACGAUCCGUAACUGGUCUGAGAGGAUGAUCAGUCACACUGGGACUGAGACACGGUCCAGACUCCUACGGGAGGCAGCAGUGGGGAAUAUUGGACAAUGGGCGAAAGCCUGAUCCAGCCAUGCCGCGUGUGUGAAGAAGGUCUUCGGAUUGUAAAGCACUUUAAGUUGGGAGGAAGGGCAGUAACCGUAAUACGUUAUUGUUUUGACGUUACCGGACAGAAUAAGCACCGGCUAACUCUGUGCC